AGGACCCAUGAGCUUGUGAGGGUCUCAUGACCCACCCCUCAAGCACAUUCCAACCCCUGCUUGCAGUAGGUCUGCUUCUACUCGAAGGCCAAAGAAAGUCAUGUGCAGAAGACCAAGCUCUAGAGCCCCUUCUCAACUGCUGGGCGAAUGGUCAUGACUCUGUUAAUGAUCAAACUGGAGCACCAUGCAGCAGUCCCGCUGGUCACAUGAAAGCUCAGGAAGAAAUGAAGCCACUGGGAAAAGCCACCGAUGCCAUGACCUUCUGUUCCCAGGGCUGGAGUGCAGGCCGAGCCUCUGCUCAGACAGUCCCCAGCAGAUUCUGUUCUGAGAAAUGAAGCGAGACCAUCAGGCUUUUGUGUGAAUUACGGAGGGAGGAUUCACGACGCGGGAAUCAUCCGGUAUCCUCACGACGUGAUCUCUUCAAUCCCGAGCAUCUCUGGGUGGAGGCUUUGCCAUCGUUAGACGGGAUGACUGCUGACUAGGGAGAGAGCCUUCUAAGAACACCAUGUGAUACAGUAAUAGCUGCUACAGUUAAUUGAGCUAUUACCACGUGUCAGGAGCUCUGCUUGAUCCUUCACACACAUGGUCCCAAUUAUUGGAAAAAGCACCCGCUUUUUU
Long non-coding RNA from Balaenoptera musculus (blue whale), 618 nucleotides. RefSeq lists it as uncharacterized. The transcript is spliced from 3 exons. The record is from RefSeq and is a predicted model, not a curated record. NCBI's taxonomy places the organism in Eukaryota, Metazoa, Chordata, Mammalia, Artiodactyla, Balaenopteridae.